RNAcentral lists this ribosomal RNA (574 nucleotides) under uncultured bacterium. Its description in RNAcentral is "bacterial SSU rRNA". It matches the Rfam family "Bacterial small subunit ribosomal RNA", at positions 88 to 671 of the family's 1533-position model. The record is from RNAcentral.
GUGGACAGCGGCGAAAGGGAGAGUGACGCGUGGGUUAUCUGCCCUUGGGCCUGGGAUAGCGGCGGGAAACUGCCGGUAAUACCAGAUAAUGUCUCCGGACCAAAGGUGUGAUUCCGCCUGGGGAUGAGCCCGCGUCCUAUUAGCUUGUUGGUGGGGUAAUGGCCUACCAAGGCGAAGAUGGGUACCGGGUGUGAGAGCAUGGCCCGGCUCACUGGGACUGAGACACUGCCCAGACACCUACGGGUGGCUGCAGUCGAGAAUCUUCGGCAAUGGGCGAAAGCCUGACCGAGCGACGCCGCGUGCGGGAUGAAGGCUUUCGGGUUGUAAACCGCUGUCAGAGGGGCGGAAAUACAUGGGGGCUAUCCCCCAUGUUUGACCUAACCUCAGAGGAAGGACGGGCUAAGUUCGUGCCAGCAGCCGCGGUAAGACGAACCGUCCAAACGUUAUUCGGAAUUACUGGGCUUAAAGGGUGUGUAGGCGGUCCGAUAAGUUGGGUGUGAAAUCCCACGGCUCAACCGUGGAACUGCGCUCAAUACUGUCGGACUUGAGGGAGAUAGAGGUGAGCGGAACUAAU